CUGGAUUCGAACCCGAGAUAAUCAAACCAUGAAGGUUCGAGCCGGAGCCGGCGCAGCCGGCGGAGACAGCGUCAUCGCACAGCGAUGACGACCCGCAGGGCGAGGUGCGCAGCACCGAGUAAUCCCUCUCUCUCCGCCA
This 139-nucleotide small RNA is filed under the name Gammaproteobacteria bacterium. RNAcentral's name for it is "RtT sRNA". It matches the Rfam family "RtT RNA". From Rfam's summary of the family: This family represents a bacterial cis-regulatory element known as RtT RNA. The exact function of RtT is unknown although it is thought that it may be involved in changing the cellular response in relation to amino acid starvation. Lineage: Bacteria; Pseudomonadati; Pseudomonadota; Gammaproteobacteria. The record is from RNAcentral.